UAAGAAGUAUAAAAUUCAGGUAGUAUUAGAUGACUUAAAACUUAAAAAAUUUGGCGGUGUUUUAAUCUUAUUAGAGGAACCUGUUUUGUAAUCGACAAUACUCGACAAAUCUUACUUAGGUUAAUAGCUUGUAUAUCGUUGUGAUAAUGAUAUUUUAUAAUUAUUAUUAGGGGUAAUUUUAUUUUUAAUAUCAGAUCAAGGUUCAGUUUAUGCUUGAGUAAAUAAUGGGUUACAAUAUAAAAAUAUAUUAUGGAGUUUAUAUUUUAAAAAUAAAUGAAGGUGGAUUUAAAAGUAUUUUUGUAAUAAUAUGUUGGUUUGAAUUAGCUCUAAAACAUGC
Molecule: ribosomal RNA, 337 nt
Filed under: Centruroides insularis
Lineage: Eukaryota; Metazoa; Arthropoda; Arachnida; Scorpiones; Buthidae
Description: partial 12S ribosomal RNA
Source: RNAcentral